CUUAACUGGGCGUUAAGUUGCAGGGUAUAGACCCGAAACCCGGUGAUCUAGCCAUGGGCAGGUUGAAGGUUGGGUAACACUAACUGGAGGACCGAACCGACUAAUGUUGAAAAAUUAGCGGAUGACUUGUGGCUGGGGGUGAAAGGCCAAUCAAACCGGGAGAUAGCUGGUUCUCCCCGAAAGCUAUUUAGGUAGCGCCUCGUGAACUCAUCUCCGGGGGUAGAGCACUGUUUCGGCAAGGGGGUCAUCCCGACUUACCAACCCGAUGCAAACUGCGAAUACCGGAGAAUGUUAUCACGGGAGACACACGGCGGGUGCUAACGUCCGUCGUGAAGAGGGAAACAACCCAGACCGCCAGCUAAGGUCCCAAAGUCAUGGUUAAGUGGGAAACGAUGUGGGAAGGCCCAGACAGCCAGGAUGUUGGCUUAGAAGCAGCCAUCAUUUAAAGAAAGCGUAAUAGCUCACUGGUCGAGUCGGCCUGCGCGGAAGAUGUAACGGGGCUAAACCAUGCACCGAAGCUGCGGCAGCGACGCUUAUGCGUUGUUGGGUA
RNAcentral lists this ribosomal RNA (550 nucleotides) under Escherichia coli. RNAcentral describes it as "partial 23S ribosomal RNA". It matches the Rfam family "Bacterial large subunit ribosomal RNA", at positions 683 to 1230 of the family's 2925-position model. The record is from RNAcentral. Lineage: Bacteria; Pseudomonadati; Pseudomonadota; Gammaproteobacteria; Enterobacterales; Enterobacteriaceae.